RNAcentral lists this long non-coding RNA (8450 nucleotides) under Triticum aestivum (bread wheat). RNAcentral's name for it is "long non-coding RNA (TAES_LNC004548)". Lineage: Eukaryota; Viridiplantae; Streptophyta; Magnoliopsida; Poales; Poaceae. The record is from RNAcentral.
UAUAUGUGAUAGGCCACCCCUAGAGGGUUGUGCCGCUUCCCCCAAACCUAUUUUCUCACAUGGUAUCAGACUAGGUCACAAUCGCUUCCGCCUAAAACCCUAACCAGCCGACACUGCCACCCCUGUCGAUCGCACCACCGCCGCCAUGUCGUGCGCCGCCGCCUCCAGCUCCUCCAAUGCCAACUAUCUGCCGGCCUCCCUCGUGGCUCUCCUCUCCUGCCCGCUCGACUCCGCCACGGUGCAGUCGUUCCAGAUCGGGACGAGGACCGUCGGCUCCUUCUUCUCCAACCAGCCGUCGGCAUCUUCGUCGCUGGGGCAUGCGGAGACGAUCCACACAUCGGGCGUCUCAUCGCCCGCCUUGAUCACCGCCGCCGUCCCACCUCUCACACUGGAGGAACCUGCGUCGGCCUGGAUGGCCGACCUCUCUUCAUCGGGCUCGACGCAACACCCUGCUCCCGCGGUGUCCGCGCCCUUGGCUGCGUCCAUGUUGGCCCAGUCUGCCCCUAUGGCGCAUGCGCCUCCGACAGCCUACACCACGGGCUCGCCGCCGUUUCACUUUGGAAACCUCAUCACCAUCAAGUUGUCAUCAGACAACUAUAUCUUCUGGCGUGCGCAGGUCCUUCCGCUCCUUGGGAGCCAUUACCUGCUUGGCUACAUCGACGAAUAUCUCCCUUGCCCCCCCCGCGCUGGUGGAUAGCGUGCACGGCUAGGUCUAUAAUCUGAUGCACCGUGUCUGGACAGGGCAGGAUCAGGCAAACCUCCCCUCUAUCCAGGGGUCACUCACCCCGGCUGUUGCCGGGCUUGUCAUUUUUGCCAAGACGUCUCAUGAGGCAUGGACUAUCCUCGAGCGCUCGUUUGCGGCGUAGUCAUAGGCUCGUGUCAGCGCCUUUCGUCGUCAGCUUGGCGAGUGUGAGAAGCUCGACUCCUCGGCCAUAGAGUUCUACAACAAGGUCAAGGCUCUUGCUGACAUGUUAGCGUCCAUUGGACAACCACUCACCGACUCCGAGUUCAACUCUUUCAUUGUCAACGGUCUCGACGAGGAGUAUGAUGCUUUGGUCGAGAUCAUCAACGAGCGGGGCAAAUCAACUCCCAUGAUGGCGCACGAGGUCUAUUCUCGUCUUCUCCUCACAGAGCAGCGUGUCGAGGUGCGCCGUUCCAAGAGCAGUCAUGGAACUCUCUCUGCGAACGCUGCCACUAAGGGUGGCCGCACCUCCUCUGGUGCCUCGUCCAAGGCGCCUCCUGCACCGCCCUCGCCAUCCUCGGCUCCCCCUUCAUCAGCAACCUUACCAGGGGGGUGUGGUCGGCGUGUGUGUCAGCUCUGUGGCAUUGAGGGACACUGGGCCUCUAUGUGUCAUCGCCGCUUCCAGCGGAGCUUCCUCAGCCUCAGCAAUGAUGGCAAGGAUACGCGUAAUAACGCGCGUUAGGUCGCCAUGGCUGAUCGUCCGGCACCACAGAAGCAACAAGGGAACACUCAGUCCUACUCCAUCGACCCACACUGGUACAUGGAUUCUAGGGCAACGGAGCACCUGACGAGCGAGAUGGGGAAGCUUCACACUCGUGAACCCUAUCAUGGCUCCGACAAUAUCCACACCGCCAAUAGAGCAGGUAUGCACAUCUCUCAUUUGGGCAAGCAUCUCUCCCCACUAGUCAUGCAAAUAGGAGUCUUCAGCUUCGCAAUAUACUUAAGAGUACCAUCUGUGACGCGUAAUCUCCUUUCAGUUCCUAAACUCACUCGUGACAAUAAUGUGUUUUGUGAAUUUCACCCAUUUGAUCUUUUUAUUAAGGAUCGGGGCACGAGGGACACACUUCUUAGAGGACGUCUGUGCCAGGGCCUCUAUCGUUUGGAGCAUCCUGGCGUCUCUCGCGUUUUCAGUGGAGUUCGAGUAUCUUCGUCACAGUGGCAUGCUCGCCUUGGUCAUCUAGCCACACCUAUCAUUCGUCAUGUUUUGCGUCGUCAUGAGCUUCCUAGCAUGUCUUGUAAUAAAGAUGUAGCAGUGUGUGAUGCUUGUCAGCAGGGGAAGAGUCAUCAACUUCCCUUUUUGGAGUCUAGUCGUGAGGUGAAACAUCCUCUAGAACUUGUGUUUUGAGAUGUAUGGGGUCCUGCUCAGACUUCUGUUAGUGGUCAUAAUUAUUAUAUCAGUUUCGUUGAUGCUUACGGUCGCUUUACUUGGCUUUAUCUUAUUAAGUGUAAAUCUGAUGUGUUUGAUAUCUUUGUUCAGUUUCAAAAACAUGUUGAACACCUUCUCAAGCAUAAGAUUGUUCAUGUUCAAUCGGAUUGGGGGGGGGGGGUGAGUAUCGCAACCUCAACUCCUUCUUCCAGUCGCUUGGGAUCGCUCACCGUUUAGCAUGUCCACAUACACAUUAGCAGAAUGGUUCCGCGGAAUGUAAGCAUCAUCAUAUCGUCGAAACUGGUCUUACUCUUUUGGCCCAUGCAUCGGUUCCCUUUCGUUUUUGGAGUGAUGCUUUCACCACUACAUGUUUUCUUAUCAACCGUACUCCCACUCGUGUUUUAAACAUGAAGACUCCCAUUGAACUUCUCCUUAUUGAACAACCUGAUUACACUUUUUUCAAAGUGUUUGGGUAUGCUUGCUGGCCGCAUCUACGCCCAUACAACAAAUGCAAGCUGGAGUUUCGAUCCAAAAAGUGUGUCUUUCUUGGCUAUAGCUCCCUUCAUAAAGGAUAUAAAUGUCUUCAUGUUCCCACUAAUCGCGUCUACAUAUCUCGGGAUGUCGUGUUUGAGGAGCAUGUUUUUCCCUUUGCCAAACUUCCUGUGUGCACCACUAAAUCACCAUCCAUGCAUUCAUCCUCUAUUGCGUCUGACCAAUUUGAUGAUGUUGCAUACUCUCAUGUAUUAUUGCCUAAUCAUGGUGCAGGCACUGGACGUGGGGCUCGUUUGGAAAAUUUAGAGGCACCCUCGCCUCCCUCGUCGACGUCACCUGAUGCUCACGUCGAUCAUGUUGUGCCCCUCCAUGGCCUCGGUACGGGUGCCCAUGCACGCCAGACCAAUGCGCCUGUGACACCGCCCGCUUCGUCGCCCACGGCAUCUAGGCCGGCCUCGCCCCGCGUUAGGCCUGCCACGCCCAUCGAGUCUGGGCCGGCUUCGCCUGGGCUGGCUUCCUUGCCAAGCAGCCUAGCGUCGCCUGGCUCCGAUUUUCCGAGUCCCUCGCCGACUGGGUCCUCUCCGUCGCCUAGUCCCCCGCUGACUGGGUCAUCUCCGUCGCCGUCACCCAGUCCCUCGCUGACUGGGGCAUCUCCGUCGCCGUCGCCAUCGUCCAGCCCCUCGUCGGCUGCACCCUCGAACUCGAUGGCCCCUGCUGCUGCUUUACGUCCACAUACACGCAGUCGCAGUGGCAUUUUUCAACCAAAGCAAUGCCAUGAUGGUACUGUUGCUUGGCUUGCUGCAUGCAUGACUGCUGUGCUUGCGGAUCCAUCCUCUGAGCCGCAUAUGUAUCAAGCUGCUAUGAGCAUUCCUCAUUGGAGAGAGGCCAUGGAGCAGGAGUAUCAAGCUCUUCUUCGUAAUAAGACGUGGACUCUCGUUCCUCCACCACUGCGAGUUAACGUUAUUGAUAUAAAUGGGUUUUCAAGGUGAAGAAGCAUUCUGAUGGGUCUAUUGAGCGCUACAAAGCGCGUCUUGUUGCCAGAGGAUUUCGGCAGCGCUAUGGUCUUAACUACGAAGACACCUUCAGUUCGGUGGUUAAGCCUCCCUUGCAGUUACUCGAGGUUGGUUUCUUCAUCAGCUUGAUGUGUAGAAUGCUUUCUUCACGACGUAUUGGAGGAGGAGGUUUAUAUGCGACAACCUCCUGGUUUGUCUGAUCCUGAUUGUCCUGAUCAUCUCUGCCGUCUCACCAAAGCACUCUAUGGUCUGAAGUAAGCUCCCCGUGCUUGGCAUGCCCUUCUUGCAACGGCCCUUCGUGCUCAUGGUUUUGCAUCAUCGACUGCUGACUCAUCAUUAUUUCUUCUACAGAAACCUGAGGUCACUAUGUACUUGCUAUUCUAUGUGGAUGAUAUUAUUCUUGUCAGCUCCUCUCAGUCGGCUGCUACUGCUCUUGUUCGAUCUCUUGGUGCUGAUUUUGCUGUCAAAGAUCUUGGGAAGCUUCACUACUUCCUUGGUGUGGAGGUUGCUUCUUGGGCUGAUGGACUUGUUAUGAUGCAGAAGAAGUACUCUUUGGAUUUGUUGCAGCGGGCUGGGAUGCUUAAGUGCAAACCGACAACUACACCUAUGUCUACCACUGAUAAGAUCACUGCUGUUGAUGGUGAGUUUCUAUCCUCUGCUGAUUCGACAGAGUAUAGGAGUAUUGUUGGUGGUCUUCAGUACUUGACGAUCACGAGACCAGAUAUUUCUUUUGCUCUCAACAGAGUUUGUCAGUAUCUGCAGGCACCUCACGACACUCAUUGGUCGGCUAUUAAGCGCAUAUUGCGCUAUAUCCGAUUCAUCGUGUCUCAUGGACUGCAUAUUCGACCGAACCCCUCUAGGGUCCUCUCGGCGUACUCUGAUGUGGACUGGGCUGGCAGUCCGGAUGACCGGAGAUCCACGGGGGGCUAUGCUGUGUUCUUUGGCUCUAACUUGAUCGCCUGGAGUGCUCGGAAAUAGGCUACUAUUUCACGUAGGAGUACCGAGGCUGAGUAUAAGGUUGUGGCUAAUGCUACUGCAAAAAUUAUCUGGGUACAGUCUUUGCUUUAGGAAUUGGGUAUAUCCCAAUCACAGUCUCCUAUCCUUUGGUGUGACAACAUCGGUGCUACAUACGUUUAUGCAAAUCCGGUAUUCCAUGCCCGAACGGAACACAUUGAAGUUGACUAUCACUUUGUGCGGGAACAUGUCUCUCAGAAGCAACUACAGGUCAGGUUCAUCUCUUCCAAGGAUCAACUUGCAGACAUCUUCACCAAGCCAUUGCCUCUACCACAGUUUGAGGCUUGUAGGCGCAAUCUUACCCUUCUAUAUUCUUUAGGAAGUGGCUAAGAUUGAGGGAGGGUAUUAGACUGUAUAGCUUCUGUAUACAUAUACGCAUGUUGUAACAUUGUACCCACUCAUUAUAUAUAUGUGAUAGGCCACCCCUAGAGGGUUGUGCCGGUUACCAAACCUAUUGUCUCACAAAUGAUAGUUCCAAACACUUUUUCUAGCAUUAUUCUUUAUCAUAAAUAGUUGCCCAUCUCAUAAAAACUACUCAUGAUCAAGUAGAAAGCUAUUCACAUGUUAAAGUAUAGACCAUAAAGUUUCUUGAAAACUAACAAACUAGGCUUUCAAUCACCAAACAAUUGCAAUUCAUCUUAUUUUCAGGAAGGGUCUAUGUAAGAGCUUUGAUUUAGCAAAUUCCAGAUACUCAACUAUCAUAUAGUCUUCCAUGAACACUCAAAGCAUAUUUUUAGAACAAAUAGCACCCGUGGAACACAGAGAAAGAUAGGGGCUUAAUGUUUUGCCUCCCAACUUAUUUACCAUAUAGAUAAUUGUCAACAAUAAUAACUCAUGAUCAAAUAUAUUUGAAUGGCCAUAUAUGCUUGCAUCUUUCCCCACCAUAUGAUGCUUGCCAACUAAAGAAUGAUUGCGGUUGAAAUAAGAAGGAAUACUAUUGACUCUUGCAUAAAAGUAAAUACAUGAAAGUAAAAGAUAGGCUCUUCGCAGAGGGAAGCAGAGGUUGUCAUGCACUUUUUAAAUUUGGAUGUGCAAAGGAAUGUCAUGUUGUAUUGCCCUUUGUGAUAGCAACCUUUAUUAUGCAGUCUGUCGCUUUUAUUUCUUUACCAUCACAAGUUCGUACAACACUUAUUUUCCCUUGCAAUAAAAGAUCAUACAUAUUUAGGAGCAAUUUUAUUGCUUUUUGCACCGAUGACAACUUACUUGAAGGAUCUUAUUCAAUCCAUAGGUAGAUAUGGUGGACACUCAUGGAAUGAAACGGGGUUUAAGGGUUUUGGAUGCACAAGAAGUAUCUCUACUUAGUACAAAUUUUUUGGCUAGCAAAAGAUCCUAAGCAAGCACCACAUGUUGGAGGAUCCAUAACAAUAUAACUUCUAUACAAAUAUACCCAAACAUAACUCAUUACGUUGUCUUCCUUGUCCAACUUCAACUAAUUUUAUCAAGUUUGAAAAUAAUUAAUGGGGCUCACAAUCAUAGAAGAUGUCCAAGAUUGUAUAUUUAUAUGUGAAAUCUCUCUUCCUUAAAUAUUCUUUCAUGAAUUGUUCAAGUGACCAAUGUUGAGAUUGCUAGCUUUCAAUAAAUUUUACCACCUAUAAUUCUUAUACGUGAAGUCAUUACUCCCCAUGGGAUAAGCAUAUGAAACAUAUAUAAUUUCAGAUUUAUGAUAUUCAAUUCAUUCAACCAUUUACUCAUAAGAUAUAAGUGAAGCACGAGAGUAAAUGACAAACUACUCCAAAAAGAUAUAAGUGAAGAACAAUGAGUAGUCAAAAUAGCCAUGGGAGGACUCUCUCUCGUUCAAGAUUUCAGAUCCAAUGAUUUUAUUCAAACAGCAAGUAAAAUGAAAAUACGCUCCAAGCAAAACACAUAUCAUGUGACGAAUAAAAAUAUAGCUCCGAGUAAGGUAUACCGAUGGUUUUGAAGACGAAAGAGGGGAUGCCUUAGGCGCUUGAGUCUCCUUGAAUAUUACCUUGGGGUGCCUUGGGCAUCCCAAAGCUUAGGGUCUUUCCACUCCUUAUUCUCCUCGUAUCGAUAUCUCACCCAAAACUUGAAAACUUCAAUCACACAAAACUUAACGGGACUUCGUGAGAUGGGUUAGUAUGAUAAAGAGUAAAUCAUUCACUUUGGUACUGUCAAAGACAAGAUUCAUAAUUGUUCUCACACAAUGCCUACUAUACCGUAUCAUUUCUACAAUUUAUAUUGAGCAAUAUAAGCCAUAGAACUAGAAAACAAGCAAACCAUGCAUUGAAAACAGAAUCUGUCAAAAACAGAACAGUCUGUAAUGAUCUGAACAUUAACCAUUCUUCUGUAAAUCCAAAAAUUCUAAAAAAUUAGGAAAACGUAGGAAAUUUGUGUACCAAUCAUGUGUAAAACAUUCAGAAUUUAAUUACUCUCCAGUGAAUUUAAAAAAUUCUGUGACUGGAAGCAAAUGUUUCUGUUUUUGCACAGAAUCAAGUCAACUAUCAUCCACAUCAUCCCAAAGGCUUUACUUGGCACUUCAUUGAAACGAAAACUAUAAAAACAUGAUUACCACAUUAGCUUAAUCAUUUGGACACACAAAAACAGUAGGUAUAAAUAUUGGGUUGUCUCCCAACAAGCGCUUUUCUUUAAUGCCUUUCUAGCUAGGCAUGAUAUUUUUAAUGAUACACUUCCAAGCCCAAUUCCAAUGAUAAUUUUGUUCAUACUCUGAAAGAUAUAAGUGAAGUUCAUAGAUCAUUCUACAAUUAAUACAGAUUGACAAAUAUCCAAGCUCAAAAUAUAUAAGUGAAUCACAUGAAGCAUUCUAUAAAAUCAUACUUAAAAGAUUUAAGUGAAGCACAAAGAGCAUUCUAUAAAGCCAUACUCAAAAGAUUUAAGUGAAGCGCAUGAAGCAUUCUAAAUCAAUGAAGGAAUAUAUCAUACUAGCAUGGUGCAUAAAGGAAAAGAAAGGAAAAAUAAACACAAAAGACGCAUAUCAUGUGAACAAAACAAAAACCGAGGUGUACCGAUGAUUGUUGAAGAAGAAAGAUGGGAUGCCAACCAGGGGAUCCCCAAGCUUAGAUGCUUGAGUAUCCCUGAAAUAUUUACUUGGGGUGCCUUGGGCAUCCCCAAGAUUGAUCUCUUGCCUCUCCUUAUUCCUCACAUAUUGAUAACUCCUCGAUCUUUGAACACUUCAUCCACACGAAACUUAACAAAGCCCUCGUGAGAUCCGUUAGUAUAAUAAAGCAAAUCACUACCAUUAGGUACUGUUGUAAACUCAUUCCAAUUUCAUAUUAGCAUUAUAUAUACUGUAUUCCAACUUCACCAUGGUUCAUACCCCCCGAUACUACCCAUAGAUUCAUCAAAAUAAGUGAACAACACAUAGAAAACAUAAUCUGUCAAAAACAGGACAGUCUGUAGUAAUCUGGAAAUUUCAUAUAUUUUUAUACCUCAAAAAAUUCUGAAAAAAUAGGACAAUAUAAAAAAUUUGCAUAACAAUACGGUGUAAAAAUUUCAGAAUUUUAUCUCAUUUCAGUGAAUUUAUACAAUUCUGUUUCUGAAAGCAAAAGUUUCUGUGUUUGCAUCGCACAUAGAAAACGAGCAAUCUAAUCAUCCUAAAGGCAAACCUUGACACAUUAUUUUUAUAAUACAAUGAAUAUAUACAAGGGGAUACUUAUUUUUGAGAAAUUUCCAUGAAAAAUUCUACAUUGUUUCCAUGAGCAUGAACACAAGUGUUCAAGGUCGACCCUCACUUCUCCAAUGCAUAACCUUUUAAUCACUUCUCUUCUUGAAAAACUCUUUAGGCCUAAGAGGCAAGUAUUUUUUUGUUUCACCCACAACUAAAGAAAGCAAGAAAACAAAAACAAAA